This 406-nucleotide ribosomal RNA is filed under the name uncultured bacterium. Its description in RNAcentral is "partial 16S ribosomal RNA". It matches the Rfam family "Bacterial small subunit ribosomal RNA", at positions 30 to 526 of the family's 1533-position model. The record is from RNAcentral.
AUUGAACGCUGGCGGCAGGCCUAACACAUGCAAGUCGAACGAGUGGCGGACGGGUGAGUAGUGUCUGGGAAACUGCCUGAUGGAGGGGGAUAACUCCUGGAAACGGUAGCUAAUACCGCAUACCAUCAGAUGUGCCCAGAUGGGAUUAGCUAGUUGGUGGGGUAACGGCUCACCAAGGGGACGUUCCCUAGCUGGUCUGCGAGGAUGACCAGCCACAAUGAAACUGAGACACGGUCCAGACUCAUACGGGAGGCAGCAGUGGUGAAUAUUGCACAAUGGGCGCAAGCCUGAUGGAGACAUUCCGCGUGUAUGAAGAAGGCCUUCGGGUUGUAAAGUACUUUCAGCGGGGAGGCGUUACCCGCAGAAGAAGCACCGGCCAACUCCGUGCCAGCAGCCGCGGUAAUAC